Molecule: small RNA, 114 nt
Filed under: Salmonella enterica subsp. enterica serovar Breda
Lineage: Bacteria; Pseudomonadati; Pseudomonadota; Gammaproteobacteria; Enterobacterales; Enterobacteriaceae
Also listed under: 10 other names
Description: RtT sRNA
Rfam family: RtT RNA
About the family: This family represents a bacterial cis-regulatory element known as RtT RNA.
Source: RNAcentral
UAUCUCUCCGUACGGGGAAGGAUGAGAAGCUUCGACCAAGGUUCGAUUCGAGCGCAGCGAGAAAGCGUUGCCGCAGGCAACGACCCGAAGGGCGAAGCGCGCAGCGCUGAGUCA